GCCUCCUUAGCUCAGCUGGCCAGAGCGCAGCCCUUGUAAGGCUGAUGUCGUCGGUUCGAAUCCGACAGGGGGCU
Molecule: transfer RNA, 74 nt
Filed under: Streptomyces parvus
Lineage: Bacteria; Bacillati; Actinomycetota; Actinomycetes; Kitasatosporales; Streptomycetaceae
Description: tRNA-Thr
Rfam family: tRNA
About the family: Transfer RNA (tRNA) molecules are approximately 80 nucleotides in length. Their secondary structure includes four short double-helical elements and three loops (D, anti-codon, and T loops).
Source: RNAcentral